Molecule: non-coding RNA, 840 nt
Organism: Paramuricea clavata
Lineage: Eukaryota; Metazoa; Cnidaria; Anthozoa; Malacalcyonacea; Plexauridae
Source: the annotation of a GenBank genome assembly
CAGAUUUAUUCUUGAGCCCCUCCCCCCGCUAAUAAAACACGACCUGCGAGUUUAUUAAACGGCUUCAAACACGACUAUAAAUGCAAUAGAUAUACUUCCUUAUUACUAUUCUUUAUAUAAAGAAUACUAAUUAGGAGUAUUUUAUCAGGUUUAAAGCCACUGCACGUGACAUAUUAUGGUUGACAUGAUUUGCCAAUAAACUUAUGAAUUAUUAAUGAGUGUUUGAAAUAUAAUUAUUUAACGUCGUGUAAACUUUUCAUCGACCAAUUUUAAAAUAAAAUGUCUUGUUAUAAAGAGAAGUAUUUGAACAUAUAUCAAUCUCGUCCCCAGAGCACGCCCAUUCGCAGCUGAGCAGAUGGGGAUAGUGUUUUCCAUGCAAUUUGAUUGGUCGCCCAGUCCCGGAUAUUCUUGCACAAUUCACCCCCGGACUCGCCUGCGUGCCUUGGACCAAAACAUGUCCCCCCCGUUUUGCUCCGGUUACAGACGAGCAAAUCGUUUUACUAAACGAAGCUGCGGUUCCGUCAAAAGCGCUUCUGCGCAAGCGCGCGGGCAGCACUCGCGAUGUCUAGUCACUUGAAUGGCCCGCAUAAACCUGUACAUAGCAUAGAUAUCUUAUAUACACUAGAUAGUGCAUCUAAUUAUUCUGCAAUUCAAAAAUUGAAGCCGUGAUUGCAGACUCAGGUCGUUCCCAUGAAAUGAGAAGAUUCGUAUGUUUUCUAUUUCUUAAACAGGGAACUUAAACAUUAAGUAAACCCUAUUCCAAAUGCAUUUUUAAACUAUUCGAAUGAUGAAAGUUAUUGUUGUUUUUAAGCGUUUGUUACUAAGUGGGAACAACCAACA